AAAGUGCAGAUUUUUUUUUUUGUUUUUGUUUACAUCGUUGUCUUCAUGCUUUCCUCUCUACCUUCUCUCUCAUUUUCCUUUACUUCCUUGGUGGCCAAACACCACACCCUUGCUCCACCCUUACACCACCACCUUAACCCACCAUCUCCACCACCGCCUGCCACCUUAUCUCGCCGGAAAAAAAGGUCCGGUCGGCCACUCCUUAAAUCCAUCCGAAAAUAGCACAAUAGAAGUAUCAACUCUAGAUUUUUCUUAAUCUUUUAAAGAAUCAAAGCAUGGGGUUUAUUUUCUUGAUGGAUUAGAGGCUUGUAAUUGGAUUGGAGGAAGGCGUCUCUACACCUCUUGGGAAUUAAUUUGUAGAGUCUCAAUCUACGCUUUUACUAUUUUUGGAGAUUCAUAGACUUUUGUGUGGCUC
This is a non-coding RNA of Camellia sinensis, 415 nucleotides long. The record is from RefSeq and is a predicted model, not a curated record. Lineage: Eukaryota; Viridiplantae; Streptophyta; Magnoliopsida; Ericales; Theaceae.